CCUANGGGCGGCUGCAGUCGAGAAUCUUCCACAAUGGACGAAAGUCUGAUGGAGCGACGCCGCGUGAUUGAUGAAGUCCCUCUGGGACGUAAAGAUCUUUUAUGAGGGAAGAAGUUUAUUGACGGUACCUCAUGAAUAAGAGGCUCCUAAUCUCGUGCCAGCAGGAGCGGUAAUACGAGAGCCUCGAGCGUUAUCCGGAAUUAUUGGGCGUAAAGGGUGCGUAGGUUGUUCUGUUAGUCUUUUGUUAAAGCCCCGAGCUUAACUUGGGACCUGCAAAAGAAACGGCAGAACUAGAAAGUGUGAGAGGUGUACGGAACUUACGGUGUAGGGGUAAAAUCCGUUGAUAUCGUAGGGAACACCAAAUGCGAAGGCAGUACACUAGCGCAUAUUUGACACUGAAGCACGAAAGCGUGGGUUUAAAAAAGGAUUAGAUACCCCANUANUC
Molecule: ribosomal RNA, 445 nt
Filed under: uncultured bacterium
Lineage: Bacteria
Description: bacterial SSU rRNA
Rfam family: Bacterial small subunit ribosomal RNA
Source: RNAcentral